AGUCAAUGCUAGAAAUGGACGUUUAGUUAUUGAAUCCCGCUAACGAGGGGAGCCAACAAGAGAGGGAUGUCGGCAUCGGGUGUGCGGUUCCAAGAACUGAUUGGCUGUGGAGAUUAGAAGUUAGGAACCUUUGCAACGGAAAGCGGCCUCGGGCAGGCGCCUUUUGAGCAGAGGAGUAAAACCGGUAAGUCAGCAGUGGAACCCGCCUCCCCGGAAAUCCUUGGAGGGGGCGGGGCCCUGGGGAGCGCGCUCUUCCCAGCGGCAGCUGGGGAGGCGCAUGCGUACUUGCGUCAUCGUUGGGUAGCAGCGGGGAGGCGUGGGAGGAUCUGAGGCCUGCGGUGGGCCUUGGUCCCUUCUCUCCCCGCCCCGAAGCCGCCUGCUCAACCUGAGGGCCACCGGCCUCUAUCCGUCGGUGCCGAUGCUCCUUGCUUCCCAGCCAGAGCGUCUCAUCUCUGGGCCCGGAGCCCCAGGCUCGUUCUCCUCAGCCCCUGCCGGCGGCGGCGCUCUUGCAGCCAUUCCUGUGAGGUCGUUUUUCGGAGCAGCCGGGCCGGCCGAGGAGUAAGUAGGCGCCAGAGUUCUAGCUCGGGCAUCUGCCUCGGGGCCCUGUCGCCGCCGCGCCCCGGAUCCUGCGUUGGUCCUGUCCGAUAAAGCGGAGGUCGGCCCUGCUUGCUGACGAGACCGUAAAAACCACGGCGCUUGGCGCCCUGCCGCCGCCACACCACACCAAAGUGUACCUGCCCGAGGCUGGCUUCGGGCGCGAGCUUGCAUUUGUGACUUUCUCUUACCGUCUUUGUUUGCUUCGUUUUAAGUAUUACUUCCAGAUAAGGGACACAUUCUCGAAAUACUUUGAAAACAGUUUUGAAUUUUGUUCCUCCCGUUGAAACGGAUUAAAUUUGGACCUUUCAAGCUACACUGUGCAAUCAUCAAUCUCAAUAAGCUCUUAAUAGGCUCAUUCUUCCGUAGGCUACAAACAAAAUAAAGAUCAUAACAUCCUGCGGAGGAAGCCAUUGGUCCAUGUAGAGUCGCCAGAUGUCAAUUAAGAGUAGAUCGCUUUUCAGAGAAUACUUAACGACUCUGGUUUAGACCUAGACUUGGAACUUUGAGGUGUUUGGAACACUGGGCAGAAUUUUCCUUUGUUACAAAACAAAGUUUAUGAGAACGUAAUUUGUUUUUGUUGUUUUUGUUGUUAGUAUUGAAGCAAUUUUGGUGCAAACCAAAGGAUAACAAAGCAAAACAAUGAAAAUCACCCAGAGUUCCAUUACCCACACUGAACCAACUUGAAUAUAUUGGUUUAUUUUGGCUUUUUUCCAUAUGAAAUGUUAAAUUUUCUUGUACUCACGUGUAGAAUAUGAUAGUUUGCUCUUUCAUGUAACAUGUCUCCCAAUUUUUACAUACAUAAUUCUAGUUUCAGUAAGCAUUUUUAUAACUACACUCUUUUUCCUUUGUUAUUGUAUGUCUAGGUUAUUUCAACUUUGCACUGUUGCUUGUAACUACUAUGUGAUGAGGCAGUAGCUAGAUUAGUAUUUAGAACGUGAGCAUUCAAGUCAGGCAGACCUGGGCUUCACAACUUACUGUGCAAUUUCAAAGAGUUUAACUUUUUUGAGCCUCAUUUUACACAGUAACAUGGGGAUAAUGGUUCUGAUUGCAUAGAAUUAUUAUGAGAGUAAGAUGAAAUAAUGAGUGGAAGUGCCUGCAGCAUGUAUUGUUAGUAAAUGCUGUAUUACUGCAGGCAAAUUUUUCUUUUGUUGUGGUUUUUUGGUGACAUGUAUGAUUUAUUUCCAGAUUUUGAAUAUACUUAAAUACUAUUAACCACAGUAGGGGUAUGGGGUUUGAUCCACAGCUUUUCAUAUAUUUUAUACAAUAUAUUGUGUGUUUGAUACACAGCUUUUCAUAUACUUUAUUAUAAGUAACACAUGAAUUAGAAAUAAUUUUUCACAAUAGGAAAAACUUUUUAAAAAUUAAAAUUUAUAAUCCUGCUAACCGUAGGUGAAUAGUCACAUUUUGGGCAAUCCUUUUUUAUGCAUAUAUAUGUAGUGGUUUUAUUUUAUUUUAUUUUAUUUUUAUUUUUUGAAACGGAGUCUUGCUCUGUUGCUCAGGCUAGGGUGCAAUGGUGCGACCUCGGCUCACUGCAACCUCCGCCUCACGGGUUCAAGCAAUUCUCCUGCCUCAGCCUCCCGAGUAGCUGGGAUUACAGGCGCCCGCCGCUGCGCCCGGCUAAUUUUUAUAUUUUUAGUAGAGACGGGGUUUCACCAUCUUGGCCAGGCUGGUCUCGAACUCCUGACCUCGUGAUCCACUCGCCUCAGCCUCCCAAAGUGCUGGGAUUACAGGCAUGAGCCACCGUGCUGGGCCUGUAGUGUUUUCUAAAAAUAGAAUUAUAUUAUAAAUUGGGUUUAUCAACUUGCUGAAAAUGGCAGAGGCCAGUGCGAUGAGAGUAGGGUGAUUAAGGGAGUAGGAAGUAAUGCAGGAAAGGGAGUUUGUAGGAUUUAGAUUUCACUGAAAGUGUACUGGACAGGUUGGGCAUAGUGGCUCAGGCCUGUAAUUGUGUCACUUUGGGAGGCUGAAGUGGAAAGAUCCCUUAAGCCCAGGAGUUCGAGCCAGCCUGGGCAACAUAGGGAAACCCUAUCUCUAUAAAAUAAAAAUAAAAAUAAUUAUUUUGAAAAAAAAGUUUACUGGACAGAGUAAGUUCAGGGUUGAGGAGUGACCUGAUUUGUUUUAGAAGGCUCAUUUGGCUGCCAUAUGGAGAUAGACUGCAAGGGACCAGGGGAGGAAGAUGCAAUCCAAUUAGGAGAGUAUUUAAGUAAUCUCUGUGAGAGAUGGUGUUAGUUUCGAUCAGGGUGUAAGUAGGGAAAAAUGAUUGGGUUCUGGAUAUAUUUUGAAGGGAGAAGUUAUAGGAUUCACUGAUUGAUGGGAUGUGGAAUUCAAGAGAAAGUGACUUAAAGAAUUUUGGUUUGGGCAGUUAAACAGAUACAGUUGCUACUUACCAAGAUAGAGACUGAAAGUUGGGGGAAACUAAAUAGAGUUCUGUUUCAGUCAUGUUACCUGUUGUGGAGUCUAACUAGUUGGAACAGGAGUAUGAAAGACUUAAUCUUCUGUUCUUGAGGUAUCAAUUUGUCCCUUCAUUUCUGUCAGUUUUUGCUACAUAUAUUCUGUUACUAGGUGCAUCUAUCCUUGUAAAUUGUUACAUCUUCCUUGUGGGUUUAUCCUUUUAUCAUUAAAAAUGUUUCUCUUUUUCUCUAGUAACAUUGUUUUAAAGUCUAUUUUGUCUGAUAUUAAUGUAGCUAUUUCAGUUCUCACGUGAUUACUAUUUACAUGCUUUGUAUCAUUGACUCUAAAAUGUGUCUCCUGUAGACAUAUAGUUGGAUCUUGGUUUGUUUUUUGUUUGUUUGUUUGUUUUUUGUUUUGAGACAGAGUCUUGCCCUGCCUCCUUGGCUGGAGUACAAUGGCGUGAUCUGGGCUCACUGCAACCUCCACCUCCCGGGUUCAGACGAUUCUCCCACCUCAGCCUCCCCAGUAACUGGGAUUACAGGGGCCCGCCACCACGCCCAGCUAAUUUUUGUAUUUUUAGUAGAGACGGGGUUUCACCAUGUUGGCCAGGCUGGUCUCAAACUCCUGACCUUGUGAUCCACCUGCCUCGGCCUCCCAAAGUGCUGGGACUACAGGCAUGAGCCACUGUGCCUGGCCGGAUCUUGUUUUUUUUAAUCUGAUAAUUUCUGCCUUUUGAUCCAAUUGUUUAAUCAUUCACAUUUAAUGUUAUUGAUAUAGUUGGAUUUAUGUAUGCCAUCUUAUUUUUGUUUUCCUUAUGUCUUGUCUUUUUCUUUUCCUGUCUCUCCUUUACUGCUUUGUUUUGGAUCAAGUGAAUAUCUUCUAAUGUAGCAUUUUAAUUUCUUGAAUGAUUUUUUACACUGUUUUAAGUUUUUUUUAGAGACUGUAGUGGUGCUCUAGGGCUUACCGUACAAUUAGCUUAACUUAUUAGAAUCAGCUUCAGAUUUAUACUAACUCAAUUGCAGUGAGAUAUAGAAACCUUACUCCAAUAUAGUUUUAUUCCAUGUCCCUGUUUUUUUGUGGUUUUGUUGUUGUACAUGUUAUAGUUGUUACAAACUCAACAAUACAUUACUACAAUUAUUACUUUUACAUCAUUUAAAGAAAAUGAACAAAGGAAAGCAAAUAUAUAUUUGUAGCUUUUGUUAUAGUAACCUUAUUUAUCAUUUCAGGUUGUUUGUUUAUUUUUCUUGUGGAUUCAUUACCAUCUGGAGUAAUUUUGUUUUCUUUUUCUUUCUUUUUUUUUUUUUUGGAGGGAUAACAGGGUCUUGCUCUGUUGCCCAGGCUGCUGGAGUGCAGUGUCAUGAAUAUAUCUCACUGUAGCGUCAAACUCCUGGACUCAAAGUGAUCCUUCCACCUCAACCUCCUGAGUAGCUGGGACUACAGGCACAUGCCACCAGGCAUGGCUAAUAUUUGUAUUUUCUGCACCUCAGCCUUCUGAGUAACUAUAUUACUCUAUAAGCACACAUCACCACACCCAGCUAAUUUUUAAAUUUUUUAUAGAGACAGAGUCUCACUGUGUUGCUCAGGCUGGUCUCUAACUCCUGGCCUCAAGUGAUCCUCCAGCUCUGGCCUCCCAAAAGUGCUGGGAUUACAGGCAUGAGUUCUUUGUAUGAGUUCCUUGUAUAUUUUGGAUAUUAACCCCUUGUUAGAUAAAAGGUUUUUCAGUAUUUUCUCCCAUUCCGUGGACUGCCUUUUCAUUUUGUUGUUUCCUUUGCUGUGCAGAAGCUUUUUUGUUUGGUUUAGUUCCAUUUGCUUAUUUUUGCUUUUGUUGCCUGUGCUUUUGGUGUCAUUUACAAAACAAACAAACAAAAUUAUUGCCAAGACUAAUGUCAUGGAGCUUUUCCACUGUUUUCUUCUAGUUUUACAGUUUCAUGUCUUACACUUAAGUCUUUUCACUUUUUUUUUUUUUUGAGACAGAGUCUCCCUCUGUUGCCCAGGCUGGAGUGCAGUGGUGUAUGAUCUUGACUCACUGCAACCUCCACCUCCUGGGUUCAAGUGAUUCUCCUGCCUCAGCCUCCCGAGUAGGUGGGAUUAUAGGCAUGUGCCACUGUGCCCGGUUUAUUUUUGUAUUUUUAAUAGAAAUGGGGUUUCACCAGGCUGGUCUUGAACUCCUGACCUCAAGUGAUCCACCCGCCUCAGCCUCUCAAGGGACUAGGAUUACAGGCAAGAGCCACUGCGCCUGGCCUCUUUUAACCAUUUUGAAUUGACUUUUGUGGAUGGGGUAAGAUAAGGGUCCAAUUUCAUUUCUUGGCAUGUGGUUAUCUAGCUUUUUCAACACCAUUUAUUAAAGAGACUAUCCUUUCUUUAUUGUGUACUUUUGACACCUUUGUUGAUGAUUAGUUGGCCACAUAAACGAGGAUUUAUUUCUGGGAUUCCUAUUCUGUUCCAUUGGUCUAUAUGUCUCCUUUUAUGCCAGUACCAUACAGUUUUGAUUACUGUAGGUCUGUAAUAUAAUUUGAAAUGAAGUGUGAUGCCACCAGCUUUGUUCUUCUUGCUCAGGAUCAUUUUAGAUAUUCUGGGUCUUUUGGGUUCUGUAUGGAUGUUAGGAAUUUUUUUUUUUUUUCUGUGAAAAAUGUCAUUGGAGUUUUGCUAGAGAUUGCGUUGAAUCUGUAGACUACUUUGUGUAUUGCAGACAUUUUGACAAUAAUGAUUCUUCUGAUCCUGAACAUGGGAUAGCUUUCCAUUUAUUUGUGUCAUCUCCAGUUCUUUCAUAUAUGUAUUAUAGCUUUUAGCAUACACAUCUUUCCCCUCCUUGGUAAAACUUAUUCCUAAGUAUUUUAUUCCUUUUGAUGCUAUUGUAAAUGGGAUUGCUUUCUUAAUUUCUUUCUUGGAUACUUCACUGUUAGUGAAGUGUAAUUGAUUUUUGUAUGUUGAUUUUGUAUCCUGAAACUUUACUGGAUUCGUUUAUUCAUUCUAACAGUUUUUAGUGGCGUAUUUAGGGUUUUCUGUAUAUAGGAUGAUGUCACCUGCAGAGACAAUUUUACUUCUUCCUUUCUGAUUUGGAUGCCUUUUAUUUCUUUUCCUUGCCUAAUUUCUGUGGCUAGGAUUUCUAGUACUAUGUUGAAUGUAAGUGAUAAGUGUGGGCAUCCUUGUCUGUCCUUGUCACAUUCAGUUGUAUGUGCAAUACUGGAACCAUCCAGCUCAUAGUCACGUAAUUCCUCUUUGUGCAGCCUCAUGUAAAAUCACACCCCUAUUCACAUUUUUUUCUGUCUGUCUCCCACCUCUCCAGGUCCCUGCCCUGCAACUUUCAGUUACUUCAGACUCUCAGAAGACUAGCCUCUAAAUACCUCAAUUUAUCUGCACUACUGUGGUCUACUUGAAAUUCUCUUCCCUCUUCUGCAGUUUGUAAUGGCAUUCAGGCCAAAAACUGUAGUAGUUUUAGGGCUCUCUUCAUUUGCUUCUCUGCUCCUAGGGAUCAUAGUGCUGUGCUAUCUGUUGUCCAGCAUCUGACACAGUUGGUUUUAUAUUUUGUCUGGUUUUCUAGUUAUUAAGCAGGUUAAGUCUGGUUCCUGCUGUUCUAUAUAGCAGGAAGCAAAGGUUCUCUCAUGAAUUUUUAGCAUAAUAACAUAAGCGUGGAUUCCAAAAAUUCAUUACACAGAUCCUGGAAAUCUGUUUACUAUGUUUUAUACAUUCUGUGAAAGCUGGAGAAUAUAUAUUUGUUUUACUAUGUGUAUCGCAAAUAAAAUAUCAAUUUCAUGUGCCAGAGAAUUGAAUACAUUAUCAAAGGGUCAUUUCAUAACGUUAUAAUCACCAUCCAUCCUGUAAGUCCUUUGAAAUUUCUUCUUUUCUAUGGAUCUAACAUUGAUCAAUAACGAAUUCCUAAGCAUCUAUAUUAGUUAGCCCAGUGUUUCUCAAAGUCCACCGCAUGUAAAAAUCAUCUAGGGAAUCUUUCUAAAAUGUGGAUUCUGAUUUAGUAGGUCUGGGGUGAGGUCUUCCCUUUUGCAAUUCCAGCAAGUUCCCAUGGGAUGCUGGUACUGGUUAAUGGAAGUCACUUAGAGUAGCAAGGAGCCUGUUUGCCUAGUAUUUACAAUGAGCACGUUUUGGGUAUCAUCAAAACAAGAGAAUCUAAAAAUGUAUGGUGUGGGUGGAAGGUUGUGUUACUUGAUAUUUCAAAAAGAUCAUUGAAAUCAGAAAAUCUCAGAGAUAUGUUGGAUUUCAUCACAUUUAUUCUAUGGCUUAAUGUUGUUUUAUUUUGAAUAUAUAAUAAGAGAGAUACCACAAAUCUUUAGCUAUUAAUAUUUAGGGAUGUUAAUGUCCUUAAUUCAUAUUGUCUCAAAUGUGAUUCAUUCCCUCUAUAGGUAUACUAAAACAGGCAUUCAUGCCUACAAAACCAUCUUCCUAACUUUCUUUCCUCUUUUUAGUCUCUUCCUGAACCAGUGACAGUGGUUCUCAAACAUUUUGGUCUGAGGACCCCUUUAUGGCCUUAAAAAUGAUCGAAGAGCUUUUAUUUAUGAAGAGUCUCACUCUGUUGCCCAAACUGGAAUGCAGUGGCAUGAUCUCAGCUCACUGCAACCUCCGCCUGUUGGGCUCAGAGAUCUUCCCGCCCCAGCCUCCCGAGGAGCUGGAACUACAGCCUUGUGCCACCACACCCAGCAAAUUUUUGUAUUUUAUUGCAGAGAUGGCAUUUCACCAUGUUGCCCAGGCUGGUCUUGAACUACUGGACUUAAGCAAUCCGCCCACCUGGGCCUCCCAAAGUGCUGAGAUUACAGGCAUGAGCCACCGCGCCUGGCUGACAAAUACUUUUUAAAAAUAUCCAAGUUUCUGGAUUUUAUUCACCUCUACAAAAAUGAUUUAAGUCCUGUAGAAACAUGUGCCCACAAAUGACACAGUAAUCUCCAGCAAUGUGUUCAACAGCACGUUGAGCAUAAUUGAGCAUAACAGACAUUUUUAAAUUUGUUGUCUCAAAUUCCAUUUAGAUUUGGCUAUUGAUGCAAAAUUAGGGAGGUCAUUUUUCACUAGAUUACUUUCAAUGCUGGAAUCCAUACUUAAAAAAAAAAAAAGAAGAAACUAGAUUUAGUAUAUCUUUCUUUGCCACUUCAGGCUUCCAAAGGAGAAAAAUUCAUGGAUAAGUCAUUAACUGUUACAAAUGCAUUAUGUCUUCAGUUGUGAUGGUUAUGAUAAAACAUGUUUAUUUUAUAUUUGUAAUUUAGUAAAAUUAGUUGAUUCAAGGAGCUCUAUCAUAAAUGGGAAGUAAUAAAAUGAUAAUAAUUAAAGCAGGUUAUUUUUCUCUGGUCAUUUUUGCAUUCUUUGUAGCUCAUGAAGUAGAUUUGUUGCUUUCAUCUGUGUCUGCCAUGUAUGCUAGGCAGGAAAGAAAGGAAGUAAGAAAGAUAUAGCCAUGUGGGGAAAGGAGACAGAGGGAAGGAGGAGGAAAGAGAAGGAAGGAAAUAAAAUCAACUCUUCGUUUUCUGCACUUUCCCUGAGCAAGUUCUUUUUUAUUUGUGUGUACAAUGAAUCUGCGUUUCUCCCUGCCACGCCCCCUCCCAACCCCUUUGGCUAAUAGAAAGCUCUGAAAAAAAUUUUGAAACUUAUAUCCAAAUGCAGUGGAUAUAAAUAAAGUUAUUUCCCCUGGCUUUUCAAAAAUAUGAGUGAGUGUUGGAUAUUAGAAAGCUACCUUACUUCUUUAGAUCGAGACCAUCCUGGCUAAUACGGUGAAACCCCAUCUCUACUAAAAAUACAAAAAAUUAGCCGGGCGCGGUGUUGGGCGCCUGUAGUUCCAGCUACUCGGGAGGCUGAGGCAGGAGAAUGGCAUGAAUCCGGGAGGCGGAGCUUGCAGUGAGCAGAGAUCGUGCCACUGCACUCCAACCUGGGCAAAAGAGCGAGACUCCGUCUCAAAAAAAAAAAAAGACAGCUACCUUACUUAUUGGAAAGAGAUGAUCUGUGUGGUCAGUAUCAGUUUCUUCACAGGAAAAAAAAAGUAGAUUAGUAAUAGUGUUUACUAGGCACAGUGCUUUACAUUUCUUUACUUAGUUCUCAAAACAAUCCCAUUACAUAGGUAUUAUCCCAUUUAACAGUUGAGAAAUCUCAGUCACAGAGAGUUAAGUGACUCCCCAAAGUUCACAUGGCUAGUAAAUUAUGGAGCUCUGGAUUUCAUGCCCUGAACCAAUGUGCUAUUACAAGCCACAUACUAAGGUUAAUACACAAAAUACAUGUCAUAAGAUAGGCUCCAAAUUGUUUUAGAGCUUCCCAGCAGUCAAACAGAAAAAAGGAAGCAUGGUUAUUUUCAAGACUUAGGAUACAUAUGAUAAAAGCAAAGCAGUUACUCAGCGGAAGUGCACCUUCCUCAGAAGUUGGGCCUGGAAAAAAACUUCAGAUAUUUAUAAAAUUGAUGCCAUACAAUGUUGUGAACACUAUGUUUCAAAACUGCCCCCUAAAAUAGUAUGAAGCUUUUUUUUUCACAUGACAAAUAUAUGAGAAACCAUUAUUAUUAUUAUUAUUACUGUUUUGAGACAGUGUCUUGCUCUGUCAGCCAGGCUGGAGUGCAGUGGCUCACUGUAUCCUGAAACUGCUGGGCUCAAGGGAUCCUCCUGCCUCAGCCUCCCAACUAGCCAAGACUACAGGCACACACAACCAUGCCUGGCUAAUUUUUUUUUUAUUAUUUUUUGUAGAGACAAGGUCUUGCUAUGUUGCCCAGGCUGGUCUCAAACUCCUGGCCUUAGGCAAUCAAUCUUCCUACCUCGGUCCCCCAAAGUGUUGAGAUUACAGACAUGAGCCAUCACGCCCUGCUGAAACCAUUAUCUUAUGAUUUCUGAUAUGUGACUCUUUCAUUGUAUGGCAUGAUCCAAGGAUAGAUUAUACAUCGAUUCAGUGAACGCAUGGACUCUAUUCUUCUGAGCAAUCCUCCAUGAGUAUGUGUUUUGAGGCUAAUCUUUUGAUAAGGAUAGACUAGCAAAGAAUUUGAUUGAUUCCGUCAGGACUCUAGAGUAGAAAUAUCAUGUAUUGUCAGUUAAAGGCAGAUCUUUGAAUUUUAACAAAGCCAGCAGAAGGCAGGAUUCAUACACUUCCAGGUAUGUCUGAACAGAAGCCUGCCUGACCACAACACAGAUGUGAUCGUCUAAGAGUCUUUCUUGGUGUAAAAUCCCAUGAUUCUACAGGGUUUAUUCAGAUCCUAGUGUCUUAAUGAGUUGAUGUAAGAGUACAGUGCUAUAUUCUAUGAGGGUGUUAUUAUUUGUAAUGAAAAUAGGGAGAAUAAUUACACAUUCUUGCUUUCUUUGGAUCAGAGCUUCUUUACUGGUAAAUACUCCCCUUUUCAUAUUUUUGUACCAGUCAUCAUAAUUUCAAAAAUAGUAUAAUACUGUAUUCUAAGCAUAACAUUUUAACUUGUGUUUAUAUGUGAGAAGUUUAGAAAAUAUAAUAAGAAAAAAUAAAAAUCUCCCACAAUCCUACUGGAGGCUAUGAAUCUUCUCACUCCCAUCUUUUCCUGCACACAUGCCAACGAACUAAAAAGGAUCAGAAUAUGCACACUGUUAUGUAAUCUACCUCAUUCAUGUAAUAAUGUAUCAUGGAUGACUCGAUGCCAUUACAUAUUAAUAGACAUAGUGCCUGCAGAGUAUUAUGUGGACACACUCAGGGCUGAUGCUCUGCUAGUAUCUUCAAGGCUGCUGGAAUAGCCAUGCUGGUUGCUAAAAUAUGGAAAGACUUCCAUACUGGUUAGUAAAUGGUGCUGCCCUGAGCCCUCUGAAUGCCUUCCCACUGGACCUCCCCCCCAUCACACUCCCCAGCAACUAAAGGGUUAACGCCUGUCCCAUCUGGGGCCUCUAGGAUCCUGCUAUAGUAGUGUGGCCAGCCUGCUUUCUGAUUGAUCAGUGCCCAUACCAAUGGUUAAAAUUUUGGAUAUCAUUCUUAAAUGUAUCAUACCACAUUGUUGGUAAUAUUUCGUGUGCUUAUUAGAAAGUAUUUUUCUGUUAAAUAUAUAUAUGUGUGUAUAUUUUUAAGUCUUCCGACAGACUUCUUUGACAUGUUAUGUCUUCAGGAAGCCAUAGGCUCUCAUGGGAAAUUGGUGUCUGGAAUUAUCACUGCAUUAAUGUAAUAAUAUAUAUUUACUAGAACAGUGGUUUGACAUAUGAAAAUCUUAAUUUAUACACCAAGCAUACUUGAAUGUAGACUUUUCCUUCUCUAUAGACCAGAAACCAUGGCAUUUAUUUGGAAUUGCUUGAUGUCACUUUAAAUUGAGACAUUCAAUCCAUUCCUCUUUUGAAUAUGAAAAACUUUUUCCUUUAAGACAAUAGUAUUUUAGACUUCACCAUCCUCCCAUACUGUUCUUUUAUAUUUCUUCAUGUUCUUUCUUCACUAAUCCAUUUCUAACACACCCAUAUAAUUUUUCAGAUUUUUUUCAUAUUUCCAUUUUUAAUAUUCCACAUUAUAUGGGUAAUUUUUUAUAAUCUGGCUUUCUGCAUUUGACCUCAUACUAGUUACCAGCUUUUAUUUUUUUUAAAUAAACAGCUUUGUUGUAAGGUUCAUUAAAACAAAACAAAAUUUCUUUUUUUAAUUGAGUUAGGGUCUCUCUCUGUCCCCCAAGCUGGAGUGCAGUGGUGCGAUCUUGGCUAACUGCAACUUCCGCCUUACGAGUUCAAGCAGUUCUUUGCCUCAGCCUCCCAGGUAGCUGAAAUUACAGGCACACGCUACCAAGCCUGGCUGAUUUUUGUAUUUUUAGUAGAGAUGGGGUUUCGCCAUGUUGGCCAGGCUGGUCUUGAACUCCUGAGCACAAGUGAUCCACCCACUUGGGUCCCCCAAAGUGCUGGGAUUACAGUCGCGCAACACCACACCUGGCUAAUUUUUGUAUUUUUAGUAGAGAUGGGUUUUCGCCAUGUUGGCCAGGCUAGUCUUGAACUCCUGAGCUCAAGUGAUUCACCUGCCUUGGCCUCCCAAAUUGCUGGGAUCACAGGCGUGAGCCACCACACCCAGCGAAAAGAGCAAGUAAUUCUUGCAAAUUUUUUACCCAAACCUUUAGAAUGUGUUCUUUUUUUUUUCUUUUUUUUUUUUUUUUGGUUUUGGGUUUUUUUUUUUUUUUUUUUUUGAGCAUUUAUGAAAUGGCUGUGAACUUCUUCUAACUUCUAACUUUCCAAGUUGUCUCCUUUUGGCCCUAGGAGUAGAAUUUUUCUUUAAUUCUCAGCUGGUGAGAUCUGUUGCCACCACAGUUCAAAAUAACGAUUAAGUACUGAGGCCAGCCCAUGCCUGAUCCUUCAGUGAUGUUAGGAAGGUGAAUGCUUGGCUGUUUGAAAGCCUCCUUAUUGUCAUUUCCAAUCCAUUCUCUCUGCUUCUAUUCCUUUUCUCCCAAAACAUUUCAGUGUUGUCAGUUCAUACUCUGGAGUCUUUGGAAAAAGAGAUUGUUGUCUUUUUAUGAAUUUGUCCAAAUUUUAGUUGUUUCUGGUUAAGUUUAGACCAAGAGGGAUCCAUGUCCCUACAGGAUUACCCCUAUUUCAACCAGUAGAUGAGGAAUAUCCAGCUUUAAUUUGUCAGAGCAAAAAUCCAUUAAUGUUUUCUCAUUACUCAUAAAAAAAAAUCCAGCUCCUUACUGUGGCCUAUAAACCUCUCCAUGAUUGGCCCUCCUUAAUUUAUCUCUUUUAGUCUUGAAGUUUCAGGCACACCUCCUUUUCUUUUAUUGAAAUUCUCAAAGCCAGGUACAGUGGCUCACCUGAGUUUAUUCAAGGCUAAUCCGUAAUUAGGGAAAUAAAGGUUACAGCUGCCUGUUAGUGACUCAGGUCGUAUAAUCACAUUCCUUUAAGGCUCAAAAUAACGUUCCAAUAGCUUUGAUUUUGAAUUACUUAUUUUCACAAGUUCUAUAAAAUUACAGAGUUCUCAUCUAUUUUUGUUGGCAGCUGUUUGCCUAGCAGUUGAAAGUGCUUAGCACAUGAUAGUAUAUGAUAAACAUUUGUUUAAUUUAUUUCAAUAUUGUCAGUCCAUAUUCCAGCUUCUUUGGCAAAGGAGACUGUUGUUUUUAUAUGAAUUUAUCCAAAUUUUAGUUGUUUCCAGCUAAGUUUAGACCAAGAGCCCCCACAGAAUUACUUCCAUGUCAACUAGUAGAGGAAGAGCUUUAAUUUAGGAUUUAAAUGCCACACCACAAUUAUCUAAAGUGACUGAAUUGAGCUACUGAAUAAUAGUCCUUCUAAAGAAGAUUUUAGACACACAUUUCAUUUCUGUUAUUGCUGACAAGUGUUUUAUUUUACAGAAUAAAAGGCAUCUUGCCUGGGAUAAAAUUUCGAAAGGCUGUGUUUUUGUAGCACUUUCUUUUUUGGAAGGAUCUCUUUUUAGCUACUCUGUGUCAUGGUGAUGUUGAGUUCUCUGUUGGAAGCUAGAGUUCCUGGGUUUUUUGAUGUUUCUAGGCUUUUGGGUUUUGUUUAAGAUUUGUGUUUUGGGAAGGAACAUUUCCAUGGUUACGCCCAUUCCUUCUACCAUCCUUGAAAAAACGAGCCAGUAGAGUAAUCUGAUUCCUGGAUUACUACUACACAGAUGUCUUUUGUAUCUGCCUACACAUGAAACUGCUAGGCAAGUUCCAUUUCCAUGCAUUUACUUCCUUCAGUGCUUUUUAAAAAUGAAGCACUUUUAAGAUUAGGAAUGAAAGACUUGGAUUGGCAAGUUAAACAGGGAUUGGCCUACGUUAUGUUAAUAGUCUAAACUCAAUGUAGGAUUAAUUUAGAGGUACAGUAUAUGAAGGGAGAGACUGUUUUGGGAACAACUAAAUCGAAGCUUUGAGCAGAAUUUGCACACAUGUGAGUAAUACUAUAUGCAGAAAGACUGCUGUACUUAAAAAUAGUUUUCAGGUUUUUAAAUAUAAAGUUUCAUGUUGGAAUAGUAAAAUAAAACAUAUGAACUUUUACUGACAUGAAGCAGUAAAAUUAACUUUUCCUUGGAACAGCUUGCAUGCUCAUUGCUGCUCCACACAAACCUAGGUUAAAGAUGCCCAUGAUCUAGCAGUUUUCUUCUCUGAACAUUGCAGAGCAUUUGCACAGACAUGCUUGAAUUUACACUCAUGAGUCCAUUUCAAGUAAGAAGAGGGAGUAAGAGAGGGACCUCCUUCUCAGGGUUAAGGAAGGCCUAAAUUAUGAAAAAGUAGUGCAGCUUUUUUCUUAAGUUAAAGUAACGGUAAAUUUACACCACAUUUCUCUAUGAAUCCAGUAUAUGAAAAGUUUAAUUUGCGUGUUAACUAUUGCUGUGCAGACAGCUUGUCAAGUGAUGAUUUUGACAGCCUGGUGUCUGUCUCCAUUCUGCUGGAACAUCAGACGCCAUUUCUCUUCUUCCUGAGAAAACCACCUCUCAUACUUUGGUAUCCCUCUAAAGUGUUUCAAUUGUAAAUUACUACUAAUAUAUAAUUACUAUUCAUUUAUAGAAGCUUCUAGCUUAAACAUAAAAAUAUACUAAAAGUGAAACAACCGUAAUCUUAACCUCUAGACAUAGAUUAUUUUUCUAUGAACACAUUAACAUAUAUGUCAUAGUUACUAUUGUUUUUUACAAUAAAAGGCUCAUACUAUACAUACAUACAACUUGUUCUGGUAUAUAUUUUGAAUCUUCAUAAUAGCAUUUGUAGAUAUGCUUUAUUUUUUGUAGUUUUGUUUUUUUCUUUAGCCAUCCUUGCAAAUACUAUGUAUUUUGCUUCCUUAAAUCAGUAUUUCAGUAGGAAAAAUUCUUAGAAAUUAAACUGUGAGGGCAAGCAAUUGUGAACAUUUACAUUUUAAUAAGUACCAACAAAUUACCUUAAAACGUGUACCGAUGGAUACUCUUAGUAAAAUGUAAGAGAGUGAUUCACUACAUUCUUACUAGCUCAGGCAUUAUCAAUUUUUUUUUAUUUUAAAUUACUGCCUAAGAAAUACAGUCAUAUAUCUUGUUCUUUUAUUUUAAAUUUCUAUUUGAGAAGUUAUGCACUUUUGUUUGUUUGUUUUUUGAGACAGAGUCUUACUCUGUCAUCCAGGCUGGAGUGCAGUGGCACAAUCUCAGCUCACUGCAACCUCUACCUCUCAGGUUCAGGUGAUUCUCGUGCCUCAGCCUCCCGAGUAGCUGGGAUUACAGGCGCCUGCCACCACGCCUGGCUGAGUUUUGUAUUUUCAGUAGAGAUGGGGUUUCACCGUGUUGGACCAGCUGGUUUGGAAUUCCUGACCUCAGGUGAUCCCCCCACUCAGCCUCCCAAAGUGCUGGGAUUGCAGGCGUGAGCCACCAUGCCUAGCCAGUUACACACUUUUUAAUGUGAUUAUUAAUCACCAUUAUUUCUACUUAUUCAAGCUGACUGUUCACAUAUUUUACUCUUUUUAAAGCAUGCAUUUUAAAUAAAUUGAUAAUAAAUGUUUUUGUCAAAUAUUGCACGUCUUCUCCCCUACAUUUAUUGAAUGCUUACUGCAUGCUAGGCUCUGUGCUAAAUACUUUACAUACAUUAUUCCAUUUAAUCCUCACAUUAAUUUUGGGGAAUGUGUUAUUUUCAUGUUCACACAAGGAAAAUGGGUUCAGAGAGGUUAAGGAAUUUGCCCAAAUUUACAGUUAGUUUAUUUUUAUUUUUAUUUUGAGACAGGGUAUGUCUCUAUCACCCAGGCUGGAGUGCAGUGGCACGAUCCCAGCUCAGUGCAAACUCCGCCUCCUAGGUUCAAGCAAUUCUAGUGCCUCAGCCUCCUGAGUGGAUGGGACUGUAGGUGCCUGCCACCAUACCCAGCUAAUUUUUUGUAGAGGCAGGGUUUCACCAUGUUGCCCAGGCCUGGUCUUGAAUUCCUGAGCUCAAGUGAUCUGCCCGCCUCAGCCUCCCAAAGUGCUGGGAUUACAGCCACGAGCCACUGUGCCCGCUCCACAGUUUUAGAAGUGGCAUUCAAACAGAGCUCAAUCACAAUAAAAGGCACAUCACAAACUAUGAUAAUCCCCCACCUCUUGGAUUGUCUUUUAUCUCUUAACUUUGUGGAGGGUUUUUGCUUUGAUUUUGUUUGUUAUGUUAUAAUGAAGUUUUAAAUUGUUAAUCAUUCCAUAUGGUGUCUAGGUUUUCCGCCAUGAUUAUAAAGCCCUUCCCUAGCCCCAUGUGAUACAAUUUUCUUUCUUAUAAUACUUUUAUAUUUCAUUUCUUUUUAAGUCUUUGGUAUAUCUGACAGCAAUUUAUGUAUGAUUCAGAUGUAUAUUUUUUUCCCCAAAGGUCCCAACACCUUUACUGAAUAAUCUUUUUCCCAUAAUUUGAGAUGACACCUUUAUCAUACACUUAUAUGCCCUGUAUAUUUGAGUCUAUAUCUGGACUCCCUUCUGGUAUAAAGAAGUGCAGUUGACUUUUGUAUAACGACCUUAUACCUGUCCACCUUGUUAAACCCUCUUACUAUUUCUAAUAUCAUGUCUACAGAUUCUGAUUUUCUGUUAAAAUGGUUAAUAAUUCUGUCUCUCUCUCUUUUUUUUUUUUUUUGACAUGGAAUUUUGCUCUUAUUGCCCAGGCUGGAGUGCAGUGGUACAGUCUUGGCUCACUGCAACCUCUGCCUCCUGGGCUCAAGUGGUUCUCCUGCCUCAGCCUCCCAAGUAGCUGGGAUUACAGGCGCCUGCCACUACACCUGGCUAAUUUUUGUAUUUUUAGUAGAGAUGAGGUUUCACCAUGUUGGCCAGUCUGGUCUUGAACUCCUGACCUCAGGUGACCCGCCUGUCUCAGCCUCCCAAAGUGCUAGGAUCACAGGCGUGAGCCACCGCGCCUGGCCCUUAACAUGGUUAAUAAUUCUCUGAUAAAGAUUGUUCUAGUCUUUUUCAAUCCUUUCUCAUCCUUUUGAUUCAACUUAUUUUUCUUAUGUGCUAUUGAAGUCCUUCAAGUCUAUGUUGUUUUUUUUUAUUUCUAAAAAUAAAACCAAGAAUACCAGAAAACCCUAAGGCUGAAGUAACUGAAAACCAAACUCAAAAAUUGAUCUGUAGGGUUAUUCAGUUACUCUGUUGGUUAGUCACCAGGUCGUGUAAGUGCAAGUCCUAAUCAGGAAAAACCAAGACUUUGUGAAUUAGGAUGGGGACACUCCAGAGGAUUCGGAGACCUCCUUGACUCCAUGGAGUACUCUGAACUCAAUGCCUUGAGCCUCCUCUGCUUGUCAAAGCCUUUCCUUCCUCUUAAUCCUCCCGAGGGUGUUUUCCUCCUGACACCAAAUGUGUGAUGUCCGUUCUAACACCAGCCAUUUCUCCAGUUCUCUAGACAUCAACCGGAUGUCCAAUAAUUCAAUUAAAUUCUGAUACUGUCUGCCUGCGUUAGCAUCCACCCCUACAAGUUAAAGGCUCAGUCCCACAAUACUUCCCUACUUCAGAUGUCAGCUGUAAAUGGGGUGCCCAGGUGAUCCACAUUUCUGCCCAGGUGACUACAAAUUUGGGGGUUCCCAUGGCCCCUUCCCCUCAGUUUCUAUAAUUUGCUAGAAUGCCUCACAGAACUCAGCAAAGCCCUGAAGCACUGAUUAUUCUCAUUUUAUUAUAAAAGAUAACAGCUCAGGCCUGGCACGGUGGCUCACACCUAUAGUCUCAGUAACUUGGGAGGUUGAGGUGGGAGUAUUAGAGCAGGUAGUUAGACGUGAGCAGGGCAGAAGAGGGUCCUUCCACCACCAGGAAUGUUAGGCAACCAUCAGGUGAUGGUCAGGUGGUUGUUAACUGUCUCUUUAAAAUAAUAAUUGGUUGCAGCCAGUGCUAGGGAAAGGCAGUCUCCCAACAGAUAGAAAACACCUGAAACUGGUGACUAGCAGCUUCCCAAUAUGAUCUCAGGAGUUGGGUGAGUGGGCUCAAGCAUGUGCACUCAAAGGCAAAAUGGCAGAGUUUAACGGGUAUAUGACCUUCCUCUAGGAACAUUCAACUUGUAGGAAAGAACGCCUCAAUGUGCAUUUGUUCAACUUCAGUAAACACACUGUGCAUUGGCCCCCUCCUAAGUGCUGGCAGGCCACCGCACAUGCAGAAUACCAGCAUAUGAAACCCCAAGUCAGAGGUCAAACUGGGCACUUGAACUCCUCAAGACUCCUGCUUGGCUAUCUUCCAAGUGUACCUUACAUUCUUUGAUUCCUGCUUUAAAACUUUUUAAUAAACUUUCACGCCUGCUCUAAAACUUACCUCCAUCUCUCUCUCUGCCUUAUGCCCUUCAGUCGAACGAAUUCUUUCUCCUAAGGAGGCAAGAAUUGAGGUUGCUGCAGACUCGUGGAUUUGCCACUGCUAACAGGAGGAUUACUUGAGCCCAGGAGUUUGCGUCUCCAGUGAGCUAUGAUGUUAUCACUGCACUCCAGCCUGGGCAACAGAGUAGGACCCUGUCUCAAAAAAAAAAAAAAAAAAAAAAAAAAAAAGAUACUGCUGAGGAACUGCCAAAUGGAAAAAAUGCAGAAGAGAAGAUAUAGGGAGAGGGGCAGAGAGCUUUUACGCCCUCUGUGGGUGCACCAGCCCUCAGUACCUCCAAGUUUUCAACCCGGAAGCUCUCCAAACCCUGUUCUUUAGGAGUUUUUAUGGAGGAUUUGUUGUGUGGACUUGGAUCGAUUAAGUUAUUGGCCAUUGGUGAUUAACUCAACUUUCCGUCCCAAGAGAUUGGGAGUGGGGCUAGAAGUUCCAGCCUCUAAAGAUGCCUAGGUCUUUUAUCAAUCCACCCUCAUCCUGAGGCCAUCCAGGCAACCCCAGGCACCAGUCAGCUCAUUAUCAUACAGAAGAUAAUCUUAUCACACGGGAGAUUCCAAGGGUUUUAGAAGCCAUGUACCUGGAACUGGCACAAAGACCAAAUAUGUUUUCUUGUGCUUUACCUCUCUUUUAAAAACAUGUAACUCCUUGUUAUGGGUUGAAUUGUGUCCCCUGCUUCACGAAUUUCAUAUGUUGGAGUCUUGACCCCCAGCACCUCAGAAUUGUUGAUGAAAAGAGUCAAACUCUGUAAAAUAUUUGAAGAGAUUUAUUCUGAGCCAAAUAUGAGUGACCAAUGCCCAUGACACAGCCCUCACGAGAUCCUGAGAACAUGUGCCCAGGGUGGUUGGGGAAUAGCCUAGUUUUAUACAUUUUAGGGAGACAUGAGACAUCAAUCAAAUACAUGUAAGAUAUACAUUGAUUUGGUCUGGAAAGGUGUCACAACUCAAAGAUGGAGGGUGAGGGGCAGUUCCAGGUCAUAGGUAGAUUUUAAAAUUUUCUGAUAGGCAAUUGGUUAAAAGAGUUAUCAAUAGAAUGUCUGGGUUUCGAUAGGGGUUGUGGAGACCAACUUUUAAAUUAUGCAAAUGAAGCCUCCAGAUAGCAUGCCUCAGAGAGAAUAGACUAAAUGUUUCUUAUUAGACAUAAGUUCUGUGUUGAUGUUAAAUGCUGGUUGGCUCUUUCUGAAUUCCAUAAGUGGGGAUGGUAUAACGAGCCAUGUCUGACCCCCCCAUUUCCAUCAUGGCCUGAACCAGUUUUUCCGGUUAACUUUGGAAUGCUCUGGCAGAGAGGAGGAGUCCAUUCAGAUGGCUGACGGAUCUUAAGAUUUUAUUUUUGGUUUACAGAAUAUAGCCUUAUUUAGGGAUAAGGUCUGUAAAGAGGGAAUCAAGUUAAAAUGAGUUCAUUAUGUAACUGAGUACUCUCAUUUUUCAGUUUAUUUUUUAAUUAUUUUCUCCUCUCCCCUUUCCCCCGGCUUAUGCCCCCAAAGCAUGCCUGCCUCAGAACCUUCACCCUCUAGGAGGGGUUGCCUUGGAACUCCCACCCACCAGGAGGGCAUGUCAAAAGCACGCCCACUUGGCCACUUUUAUAACUUCUGCCCAGGAAGGCACCAACUCAGCUACCCAGUAGUUAAGGCACUGGGCCAGCAGGGGGACCCCUCGCCCUUGCUCACUCCUUCCCCGGCCUUGGAUAAGUGCCUACUUUCUGCUCUGGGAGCAAAACGUCACAUGUAAAGGCAGGACUAACGUUCACGACUCUUCCCCAAGCUAGCUUCGGAAGAAACCGCUUUCUUUAUGCCAGACCUCGCUCUUGUUAAUUGGACUACGCAGGCAGCAAGCAACUAACCCUCUGUUUGGUGACGGUUAUGGAUGGGCGCCCUAAUCCGCUACCUGAAAAGAUCCCCUUUCCUGCUCUGGGAGGCUGUUCCAUCUUCAGCAUCAGCACUUUAUCACAGAAGGCCUAAGCAGGGGAGAAUGUUGCCACAGAAGCCAAAGAGGGAAAGUCUUAGUGAAGAGUCAAGAAAGAAAAGUCUUGGAGAAAUACUUUUCGGUAUGGCAGUGAGGAGUGUGGUGGCCUUCUUGAGAGCACUCUCACUGCCUUGGUGAUAGGGGUCAUUUUGCAGCAUGUUGGCUGCAGAGAAGGCAACCUAAAGAAGGCAUUCAUGAAAUGCAGCCUGCUUCUUGAACGAAUCUGGAUGAAAGGCAGGAGAAUGCAUGGCAGCUGGAGGAAAGCCAGGAUGCAGGAGGGCAUUCCUUAGGGCAGUAAAGUGGACGUACAUGCGGGGUUAGAGAGCAACCCAGAAGCAGGAAGCAUGAGCCAGAGUCCAGGGUGCUUUGGAAAGAUUUAGAUAGGGGGUAGGGCCCAUCCUUCUCUGUCAUAGGAAGCAGGAUGUAAAUGGAGUUUCUCUGGUUGGCUGGAGGUUGAGGAAGUUUGCUUCCUAUGGCUUCUAUUCUCAUCUACUGAAAUGUGAGAAGAGGCAGUGGGAAUGGAAAAGCUACCAUGGGAGUGAGAGGAGAAACUCAAGAUAAAUGAAGGAAUUUCUGCAAGCAGUGUGGAAAGCUGAACUGAGGCUGGAGCCAUGCAUUUGGGGUGACAUCAGAUCUUCAGCGGAGUGCUUUUUUUUUUUCCAGCUUCACUUAAUAAUGUGAAUAAAGAUGAUUUUGGUAUAGGAAUUUGCAGGAUGGCUAAUAGUGGAAAACAAAGGAAAAUGGGGUAAUAAUAGAGCCUGCCAUUUCAGAGAGUGAUCAAAGUGACUCACAGUGAGAUCUAGACUAGAGAGGGCAGAAAUGAAAGGACCAAAGAGGAGAAGAUGAUCUCAGUGGAGAUAAAAGGUAGAUGGACGAGGAAAACUAGAGAGCUAGAAGGUUGUGAUUGGAGAUCAGGAUGAUGACAUUUAAGAGCCAGAGGUGAAGUUUAAAAAUAGGGAUUGUGAGCUGUCCAUGUUGGCACAUGCCUAUAGUCCCAGCUACUAUGGAGGCUGGGCGGGGAGGAUCACUUGAGCCCAGGUGUUUGAGGGUACAGUGAGCCAUGCUCAUGCCACUGCCCUCCAGCUUGGGCGAUAGAGCAAGACCCCAACUCUAAAAAAAAAAAAAAAGAAGGAAAAAUAGGGAUUGUGCAAUAGAAUCAAACACAGAGGUCACUGGAUAAUAACAAACAGUAGUUUAUGAGUAGUUUUUGUGUAGCUUUGUUUUUUUGAUUUUUGUUUUUUUGUUUUUUGUUUGUUUGUUUUUUGAGACAGAGUCUCACUCUGUCACCAGGCUGGAGUGCAGUGGCACAAUCUUGGCUCACUGCAACCUCUGCCUCCCGGGUUCAAGUGAUUCUCCUGCCUCAGCCUCCCGAGUAGCUGGGACUACAGGCAUGUGCCACCACGCCCAGCUAAUUUUUAUAUUUUUAGUAGAGAUGGGGUUUCACCAUGUUGGCCAGGAUGGUCUCGAUCUCUUGACCUCGUGAUCCGCCCACCUUGGCCUCCCGAAGUGCUAGGAUUACAGGUGUGAGCCACUGCGCCCAGCCUUUGUGUAGCUUUUUGAGCAGCAACACAAUAGUGGAUAGAGCUGUAAAGAACACAAGGAGAGGAAGGGAAAAUUCAAACAGCUGCGGCUUGUUGGUCUUUUAAUGCCUGGUUCUUGAUUUUGAAUCCACUGCUGUCUUUACAGGAGGGCACUAAUUUCCAGCGAAGAAGUGUAAGUUGCUUUGAUCGUAUCUCAUUCUUACAAAAUGUAGACUCACCAAUGGCUGUUGUUUUUUUCAGUGGGCCUAAUGCAUAUAGCUUCCAGAUGUAAAGGUAAAGUACUCCAGUGGAUGAUUCAUUUUAAAUUAGAAAUUAGCUUAAAGGCUAAUAAAAGUUGAAAAUAAAAUUUAUCUCAAACCUAGUUAGGUGUUUUUUCUUUUUGGCAAGAGAAAAUGGAUAUGAGGAAAGUAUUCUUCCUGUAGUGGGAGAUCAGGGGCAAUAUGGUGAUACCAUAGCCAUGGCACAGAUAAAGUGGGAUCUAAUAAUUUAGUUAAUUUUAUCUGUUUAUUUGACUGUAGGUACUUGAGCAUAUAGUUGUUUUGUUGUUGUUGUUGUCAUUUUUUUAAGAAAAAGCAUCGGUGUUCUUUUGUUUUGUUUUGUUUUGUUUUUUUGAGAGAGAGAGGUCUCGCUGUGUUGCCCAGGUUGGUCUUGUACUCCUGGCUUCAAGUGGUUCUCCCACCUUGGUCUCCCAAAGUGUUGGAGUUACAGGUGUGAGCCACUGCACCCAGUCAAGUUUUCCUUCUUAAGUGAUAAGAGUGAUACUUAGAAAGAUACUCACUUGGAAGAAGAGAAAUUAAAAAUUUUAGCACUUUUUGGCCACCUAAAAUAAUUGCAUGGAAGAGUGACCAAGAAAAACGCUGAAAAAAACUUUUCUUUGGGAAAAUAUAUAUUCCUUAUAUUCCUUAAAGCAAAAAUGAAUAGAGAAAAAUUGGCACCCCUGUUGUGUUAGAAACUAUUUGAAAAAUGAUGAAUUGUAAAUAUUGUCAAUUUCAAUACUCUGGUUUUGAUUUAAAGUUUGAAAUCGAGAUUUUGUGAUGGAAUGAUUUCUUCUGUUUGUAUGGUAGUUAAAGCUUGCUUAUUACCACCAUACUAGAAACUUGGCCGUAAACAGGAAUCUAUGUGCCUGGGCAGAAACUACCCCAUAAACACGUUGUUAUUUUAAAAUCUUAAAGGAGAGAGGAUAUCAAAGUAUAUUCUUUAUCAUUUUCUCUUAGAAAAUCUGACAUUGUGUUUUUGGACUAGUAAGUAGAAUAGAUAUUUAGCAGGAAAUUUAUAUGUAGGCCUUUGGGCUUCAAAAAUACUUAUCCCUGUGAUCCUUUGGGCGUAUCUAUGAUGUCAUGAUGUUGACGGUGUCAGCAUAGUUUAUUUUGUCACAUUUGUGCUUUCAUGAACAUAAAACCUUUAAUUCGUUUUCUUUAAAAGGUACAGCAGCACCAUCUUAGUUAAGCAGAACAAGUUUCACUUCAUGUGACUCAAUCAAUGAAGGAAAAUACAACUUUUGAUAAAGACACCAGUGAGCAUUUUAUUGAUUAAUGGGAUGCGUUAUUUAGCUUUAUGCUUGCAGACAGGCUCAAGAUUAGAUCUUAGUACAUUGGGAAAAACUUCAGUUAUACAACAUGUCCUAACUUUUGUUGUGUUGACAUUCAAGCUAGAGUUUAAUACUCCUCUGAUGAAGGUAUUAAAUAAUGUAGGUUUCUAAGCUGUAUGCAACUAAAGCAUAUUUGCUUCAUGACCAACAUCUAUAUGCUGUGAUGUUAUCCAGUGAGUGAAACACAGGUCAACUCUACACGAAGCCUUUUUUUGUAUUCCUAUUUUGUCUUCUCCAUCUCUCCUUUCUUAUUAUAGCAUAUUUUUUUCACUCUAAGGAAAGAACAUUUAUGCAGGGCUUGCUUACCCCAACAAAGCAUAGCACAGGCAGGGCUGACACAAAAUCAACGGGAGAAGUUUGAAAAAAGAGAACUGCUG
Molecule: long non-coding RNA, 23563 nt
Filed under: Homo sapiens (human)
Lineage: Eukaryota; Metazoa; Chordata; Mammalia; Primates; Hominidae
Description: non-protein coding lnc-FAM217A-1:3
Source: RNAcentral